Molecule: long non-coding RNA, 253 nt
Organism: Notothenia coriiceps (black rockcod)
Lineage: Eukaryota; Metazoa; Chordata; Actinopteri; Perciformes; Nototheniidae
Exons: 3
Source: RefSeq, a predicted model, not a curated record
UUUCAGUACUCUGGUUUCCAGCAGACGGCGGAUAAGUGUUUUGUGUGCGGUCACCUCAUCAUGGAGAUGAUCCUGCAGGCGCUGGGAAAGUCGUACCAUCCGGGUUGUUUCCGCUGUGUGGUUUGUAAAGAGGGUUUAGACGGAGUGCCGUUCACCGUGGACGUUGAGAACAACAUCUACUGUGUCAAAGACUACCACACGGUAUUUGCUCCCAAGUGUGCCUCCUGCAACCAGCCCAUCCUCCCAGCACAGG